Molecule: long non-coding RNA, 2117 nt
Organism: Corvus hawaiiensis (hawaiian crow)
Lineage: Eukaryota; Metazoa; Chordata; Aves; Passeriformes; Corvidae
Exons: 3
Source: RefSeq, a predicted model, not a curated record
UUUUAUGUUUUGCGUAUUAAAAGCCAUACAAACCUACCAGGAUUUCUUGCAGAAGGUAAUGCUCAUGCUGAUGCAUUAGCUAAUCCUGUUUGGGCAGUUCCUCAGACAGAUAAACUAGCCCAGGCUAAAGCAUCUCAUGCCUUUUUUCAUCAAAAUGCACGCACAUUGUAUAAACAGUUUUCGCUAACACCUACAGAAGCUCGUGCUAUUGUUAGUGCUUGCCCAGAUUGUCAUAACUCUAAUGGACCUUUACCCUUUGGAGUAAAUCCCUGUGGUCUUUUGGCCCUACAGCUUUGGCAGACUGUUGUUACACACAUUUCAGAUUUUGGUCGUUUUAAAUAUGUACAUGUAUCCAUUGACACCCUUUCUUCUGUUAUAUGGGCUUCUGCCCAUGCUGGAGAAAAGGCCCAUGAUGUAAUUUUGCACUGGCAGCAAGCCUUGGCUGCUUUAGGCAUACCUGCCUGUGUGAAAACUGACAAUGGGCCAGCCUACGCCUCUCAGAAAGUUAGGAAUUUUUUAUGUCUGUGAGGCAUCUCUCAGAAAUUUGGUAUUCCUCAUUCUCCCACUGGUCAGGCUGCCGUUGAACGUGCUCAUCACACACUUAAAACUGUUUUAGAAAAACAAAAAGGGAGAAUGCAAGGGGAAACCCCACAGUCCAGACUUUUGAAAGCUCUAUAUACCAUAAAUCACUUGACCAUACUGGCUCAUUCAAACAAUCCCUCAAUUUUAAAUCAGUUUUAUUCCUUGCAGUGCACCAGUGAAACACAUUUGCCUCGAGCUAAAGUAUGGGUAAGGAAUUUGCUUACCAGUGAGUGGGAAGGCCCCUGGGACCUUGUCACUUGGGGACGUGGAUACGCUUGUGUUUCCACAGAUACUGGACCACGGUGGGUGCCAGCAAGGUGUGUGCGUCCUGAUUUGCGGCAGAAUAUCCCACCGCCUGUUCGGCCAAAUCCUGAGGAUAACAGCAACACAGGGAUGACCUUGGCAGCAUAGUUCGAGCUACCUCUGACCAGAGAAAGCGUCUAGCACAGCAUAAACCACGGAGGGGAAAACGUAGCAUCCAUGCGUUUGCCCCUGAUUGUGAUGACACCACCAAAUUUUGGCCAUCAGGGCCCUGCAAAAGUCAAUAACCACUGCCUUUGUAAUACAACAACAAAGAGGGGGACCUGAUGAGGCUGACAGCUGGACUGGAGGCCUCACAGAGUUAGACCUAAAAUCGAUCAGAAUUUACCCGUGAGAAUAUUGCAGUGAAAUUCUGCAGCUUCAGUGAAACCCACAAAGAAGGCCGGGAAGAUAAUUAAUAAGAGAAGAUGUUCUGGACAUGAAGGGAGGAUGUUCUUGUUAUGGGACAUUAAGAGUGUACAAGGAAGAACUUGUGGAUAAUAUGUAGCAACUAUACUUUUGCUUGUAUAGCUGAUUGUUUUAUGGUCUGAAUGGUCAUUGUUUGUUAGACAGCCUUGUCAUUGUUUUCUAAGCAGCCAAUCUUAAACUAGGCCACAGCCAUUGUGAAGAGGUAUAAGAAUAGCAGUAGAGAAAAUAAAAAAAUCUUUCUACCUUUUGACUAUGGAUUAUGACUAGUGUGGCUUUUAUGUCUGCCUCGACUACAGCCACACCUCAGUUAGAGAAUCCUCUGUGGAGCCCCUGCAGAAAUGAUUAACCUUGAGAAGUGGAAAAGAUCCUAGCUAUCCUUAUGAUCUUUUUGUCCCAGGAAUUAAUGAUCCAAAGAAAGAGCUUGAUUUAUUCCCUCCGGACUCACAUGAUAAAUGGGUUGAAGUUGGAUUGGAAGCAUUGGAAGCAGGCGAUGUAGAGGUAGCACAGCGUAUUGUAACUCCUGUCACAUACACCCCCCCCCCCCGUCAGCUAGCUAAGUGGCAAGGGCUAUCUUUUAAUGUUAUUAAUGAACUCCCACGUGCCCUUGUAGAGUUCGGCAUAUCAUCACCUUUCUUUACCAACAUGUUGGGGUCAGUACUUAAAUCCGAUACUAUGACACCUCAUGAUUUAAAGACAUUUGCAGACUUGCUGCUAACACUCAUGCAGAGGACACUCUGGGAUGCCAGUCUCACACCCGCAACAGCAGGCAGUGCCAGACUGGAUGUGGCAGCAGCCACAGAUGUAAC